RNAcentral lists this ribosomal RNA (410 nucleotides) under uncultured bacterium. RNAcentral's name for it is "bacterial SSU rRNA". It matches the Rfam family "Bacterial small subunit ribosomal RNA", at positions 74 to 465 of the family's 1533-position model. The record is from RNAcentral.
GGGAGCUUGCUCCUAUCAAUCUUAGUGGCGAACGGGUGAGUAACGCGUAAUCAACCUGCCCUUCAAUGGGGGACAACAGUUGGAAACGACUGCUAAUACCGCAUACGAUCGUAAUUCGGCAUCGAGAUACGAUGAAAGGUGGCCUCUAUUUAUAAGCUAUCGUUGAAGGAGGGGAUUGCGUCUGAUUAGCUAGUUGGAGGGGUAACGGCCCACCAAGGCAAUGAUCAGUAGCCGGUCUGAGAGGAUGAACGGCCACAUUGGGACUGAGACACGGCCCAAACUCCUACGGGAGGCAGCAGUGGGGAAUCUUCCGCAAUGGACGAAAGUCUGACGGAGCAACGCCGCGUGAGUGAUGAAGGUCUUCGGAUUGUAAAGCUCUGUUAAUCGGGACGAAAGAGCCUAGUGUGAAU